This 300-nucleotide ribosomal RNA is filed under the name uncultured Pyrobaculum sp. RNAcentral describes it as "bacterial SSU rRNA". It matches the Rfam family "Bacterial small subunit ribosomal RNA", at positions 496 to 795 of the family's 1533-position model. Lineage: Archaea; Thermoproteati; Thermoproteota; Thermoprotei; Thermoproteales; Thermoproteaceae. The record is from RNAcentral.
GCUGACUCCGGACAGUGUGGCGCGGUAAGAAGGAGGGGUCGAGGCUGGUUCGGAAUGACUAGGCGUAAAGCGCGCGUAGGCGGUGACUCAAGUCAGAGGUGAAAGCCCUGGGCUCAACCCCGGAACUGCCUUUGAAACUAGGUGACUAGAAUCUUGGAGAGGUCAGUGGAAUUCCGAGUGUAGAGGUGAAAUUCGUAGAUAUUCGGAAGAACACCAGUGGCGAAGGCGACUGACUGGACAAGUAUUGACGCUGAGGUGCGAAAGCGUGGGGAGCAAACAGGAUUAGAUACCCGAGUAGUC